GAGCGCGUAGCUCAGCUGGUAGAGCAUCUGACUUUUAAUCAGGAGGUCAUGGGUUCGAAUCCCAUCGCGCUCACCA
Molecule: transfer RNA, 76 nt
Filed under: Methylovirgula sp.
Lineage: Bacteria; Pseudomonadati; Pseudomonadota; Alphaproteobacteria; Hyphomicrobiales; Beijerinckiaceae
Also listed under: 2 other names
Description: tRNA-Lys
Rfam family: tRNA
About the family: Transfer RNA (tRNA) molecules are approximately 80 nucleotides in length. Their secondary structure includes four short double-helical elements and three loops (D, anti-codon, and T loops).
Source: RNAcentral